Molecule: ribosomal RNA, 1503 nt
Filed under: uncultured Bordetella sp.
Lineage: Bacteria; Pseudomonadati; Pseudomonadota; Betaproteobacteria; Burkholderiales; Alcaligenaceae
Description: partial 16S-23S ribosomal RNA intergenic spacer
Rfam family: Bacterial small subunit ribosomal RNA
Source: RNAcentral
GGUUGAUUCUGGCUCCAGAUUGAACCGCUGGCGGGAUGCUUUACACAUGCAAGUCGAACGGCAGCACGGACUUCAGUCUGGUGGCGAGUGGCGAACAGGUGAGUAAUGUAUCGGAACGUGCCUAGUAGCGGGGGAUAACUACGCGAAAGCGUAGCUAAUACCACAUACGCCCUUCGGGGGAAAGCGGGGCCUUCGGGCCUCGCACUAUUAGAGCGGCCGAUAUCGGAUUAGCUAGUUGGUGGGGUAACGGCUCACCAAGGCGACGAUCCGUAGCUGGUUUGAAGGACGACCAGCCACACUGGGACUGAGACACAGCCCAGGCAGAACUCCUACCAGGAGGCAGCAGUGGGGAAUUUUAGUUAAUGGGGAAACCCUGAUCCAGCCAUCCCGCGUGUGUGAUGAAGGCCUUCGGGUUGUAAAGCACUUUUAGCAGGAAAGAAACGGCACGGGAUAAUACCCCGUGCAACUGACGGCUUACCUGCAGAAUAAGCACCGGCUAACUACGGUGAUGCCAGCAGCCGCGGUAAUACGUAAGUGCAAGCGUUAAUCGGAAUUACUGGGCGUAAAGCGUGCGCAGGCGGUUCGGAAAGAAAGAUGUGAAAUCCCAGAGCUUAACUUUGGAACUGCAUUUUUAACUACCGAGCUAGAGUGUGUCAGAGGGAGGUGGAAUUCCGCGAUAACGGUGAAAUGCGUAGAUAUGCGGAGGAACACCGAUGGCGAAGGCAGCCUCCUGGGAUAACACUGACGCUCAUGCACGAAAGCGUGGGGAGCAAACAGGAUUAGAUACCCUGGUAGUCCACGCCCUAAACGAUGUCAACUAGCUGUUGGGGCCUUCCGGGCCUUGGUAGCGCAACUAACGCGUGAAGUUGACCGCCUGGGGAGAGUACGGUCGCAAGAUUAAAACUCAAAGGAAUUGACGAGUUCCGCACAAGCCCGGUGGAUGAUGUGGAUUAAUUCGAUGCAACGCGAAAAACCUUACCUACCCUUGACAUGUCUGGAAUCCCGAAGAGAUUUGGGAGUGCUCGCAAGAGAACCGGAACACAGGUGCUGCAUGGCUGUCGUCAGCUCGUGUCGUGAGAUGUUGGAUUAAGUCCCGCAACGAGCGCAACCCUUGACGUCGUGCUUAGUUGCUACGAAAGGGCACUCUAAUGAGACUGCCGGUGACAAACCGGAGGAAGGUGGGGAUGACAUCAGAGUCCUCAUGGCCCUUAUGGGUAGGGCUUCACACGUCAUACAAUGGUCGGGACAGAGGGUCGCCAACCCGCGAGGAGCCAAUCCCAGAAACCCGAUCGUAGUCCGGAUCGCAGUCUGCAACUCGACUGCGUGAAGUCGGAAUCGCUAAUCGCGGAUCAGCAUGUCGCGGUGAAUACGUUCCCGGGGUCUUGUACACACCGCCCGUCACACCAUGGGAGUGGGUUUUACCAGAAGUAGUUAGCCUAACCGUAAGGAGGGCGAUUACCACGGUAGGAUUCAUGACUGGGGGUGAAGUCGUAACAAAGGUAG